UGGAGGCGCCGAUCGACCCGGUACCUCUCGCAUGCGAAGCGAGCGCUCUACCAUCUGAGCUACGCCCCU
Molecule: transfer RNA, 69 nt
Filed under: Araneus ventricosus
Lineage: Eukaryota; Metazoa; Arthropoda; Arachnida; Araneae; Araneidae
Description: tRNA-Ala
Source: RNAcentral